GUAAAUAUUUCACAUCCAUUAUUGUGCUGUGUACUGCAGGCAUUUGGUUGCCAUGUACUUCUUUGUUGUUGCCUAAAUGUUGCAAAAAAUGAAAUUUUCUUAACUCAAGGUACAUGAUUCUGGUUGGAUCAAUUUGAGAUUGAAUUACUGUUGUACUGGUGGUCCAUUAAGGUAACUGAUCACCAUUCCUGCAUGAGCAUGAAAUUGUUUCUUGUGAGUUUGGUUGGUCUAGCCAGAUGGAUUAACUGCAUGGUUUGUUGCUGAAGUCACAUUAUAAGCCAGUCUUAGUAUUUGUAAUUAAAUUGGUAGUUUGAAAAGGAUGAGUCUCAUUGUACCUGAAAUUAUUCAUUUAUAAGUUUAGGAUUUGUUUGAACUUUUAUUUUCUUGAACCCUUAACUAUAUGUGAGGUCAAGCUGAUUGUUGUUACCUUCACUUAGAAUGCAUUCUAUAUAA
This 453-nucleotide unclassified non-coding RNA is filed under the name Hevea brasiliensis (rubber tree). The record is from RNAcentral. Lineage: Eukaryota; Viridiplantae; Streptophyta; Magnoliopsida; Malpighiales; Euphorbiaceae.